Molecule: ribosomal RNA, 497 nt
Filed under: uncultured bacterium
Lineage: Bacteria
Description: partial 16S ribosomal RNA
Rfam family: Bacterial small subunit ribosomal RNA
Source: RNAcentral
GACGAACGCUGGCGGCGUGCCUAAUACAUGCAAGUUGAGCGCUGAAGGUUGGUACUUGUACCAACUGGAUGAGCAGCGCACGGGUGAGUAACGCGUGGGGAAUCUGCCUUUGAGCGGGGGACAACAUUUGGAAACGAAUGCUAAUACCGCAUAAAAACUUUAAACACAAGUUUUAAGUUUGAAAGAUGCAAUUGCAUCACUCAAAGAUGAUCCCGCGUUGUAUUAGCUAGUUGGUGAGGUAAAGGCUCACCAAGGCGAUGCUACAUAGCCGACCUGAGAGGGUGAGCGGCCACAUUGGGACGGAGACCCGGCACAAACUCCUACGGGAGGCAGCAGUAGGGAAUCUUCGGACAUGGACGAAAGACUGACCGAGCAACGCCGCGUGAGUGAAGAAGGUUGUCGGAUCGUAAAACUCUGUUGGUAGGGAAGAACGUUGGUGAGAGUGGAAAGCUCAGCAAGUGACGGUAACUACCCAGAAAGGGACGGCUAACUACGUG